GACGAACGCUGGCGGCGUGCUUAACACAUGCAAGUCGAACGGAAAGGCCCUGCUUUUGUGGGGUGCUCGAGUGGCGAACGGGUGAGUAACACGUGAGUAACCUGCCCUUGACUUUGGGAUAACUUCAGGAAACUGGGGCUAAUACCGGAUAGGAGCUCCUGCUGCAUGGUGGGGGUUGGAAAGUUUCGGCGGUUGGGGAUGGACUCGCGGCUUAUCAGCUUGUUGGUGGGGUAGUGGCUUACCAAGGCUUUGACGGGUAGCCGGCCUGAGAGGGUGACCGGCCACAUUGGGACUGAGAUACGGCCCAGACUCCUACGGGAGGCAGCAGUGGGGAAUAUUGCACAAUGGGCGGAAGCCUGAUGCAGCAACGCCGCGUGCGGGAUGACGGCCUUCGGGUUGUAAACCGCUUUCGCCUGUGACGAAGCGUGAGUGACGGUAAUGGGUAAAGAAGCACCGGCUAACUACGUGCCAGCAGCCGCGGUGAUACGUAGGGUGCGAGCGUUGUCCGGAUUUAUUGGGCGUAAAGGGCUCGUAGGUGGUUGAUCGCGUCGGAAGUGUAAUCUUGGGGCUUAACCCUGAGCGUGCUUUCGAUACGGGUUGACUUGAGGAAGGUAGGGGAGAAUGGAAUCCCUGGUGGAGCGGUGGAAUGCGCAGAUAUCAGGAGGAACACCAGUGGCGAAGGCGGUUCUCUGGGCCUUUCCUGACGCUGAGGAGCGAAAGCGUGGGGAGCGAACAGGCUUAGAUACCCUGGUAGUCCACGCUGUAAACGGUGGGUACUAGGUGUGGGGUCCAUUCCACGGGUUCCGUGCCGUAGCUAACGCUUUAAGUACCCCGCCUGGGGAGUACGGCCGCAAGGCUAAAACUCAAAGGAAUUGACGGGGCCCCGCACAAGCGGCGGAGCAUGCGGAUUAAUUCGAUGCAACGCGUAGAACCUUACCUGGGUUUGACAUGGAUCGGGAGUGCUCAGAGAUGGGUGUGCCUCUUUUGGGGUCGGUUCACAGGUGGUGCAUGGCUGUCGUCAGCUCGUGUCGUGAGAUGUUGGGUUAAGUCCCGCAACGAGCGCAACCCUUGUUCACUGUUGCCAGCACGUUAUGGUGGGGACUCAGUGGAGACCGCCGGGGUCAACCCGGAGGAAGGUGGGGAUGACGUCAAGUCAUCAUGCCCCUUAUGUCCAGGGCUUCACGCAUGCUACAAUGGCUGGUACAGAGAGUGGCGAGCCUGUGAGGGUGAGCGAAUCUCGGAAAGCCGGUCUCAGUUCGGAUUGGGGUCUGCAACUCGACCUCAUGAAGUCGGAGUCGCUAGUAAUCGCAGAUCAGCAACGCUGCGGUGAAUACGUCCCCGGGGCU
This 1346-nucleotide ribosomal RNA is filed under the name uncultured bacterium. RNAcentral's name for it is "partial 16S ribosomal RNA". It matches the Rfam family "Bacterial small subunit ribosomal RNA", at positions 28 to 1381 of the family's 1533-position model. The record is from RNAcentral.